GAAAUGCGAUAAGUAAUGUGAAUUGCAGAAUUCCGUGAAUCAUCGAAUCUUUGAACACACAUUGCGCCCUCUGGUAUUCCGGGGGGGCAUGCCUGUCCGAGCGUCAUUGCGAACCCCUCAAGCACGGCUUGUGUGAUGGGCCCUCCCGCGUCUUGGUCGUCAAGACGGGCCCGAAAUGCAGUGGCGGCUUCGCGGUUAUCCGAUCAGCCAGAGCGUAUGGGGACUCUCUCUCUUGUCACACGCCCGCGGCGCGGACCGACGCCUGUCGACCUUUAUUCAUCUUCUCUCGGUUGACCUCGGAUCAGGUAGGGAUACCCGCUGAACUUAAGC
RNAcentral lists this unclassified non-coding RNA (330 nucleotides) under plant metagenome. Its description in RNAcentral is "partial contains 5.8S ribosomal RNA, internal transcribed spacer 2, and large subunit ribosomal RNA". The stretch from base 1 to 106 matches the Rfam family "5.8S ribosomal RNA", at positions 50 to 154 of the family's 154-position model. The record is from RNAcentral.